RNAcentral lists this ribosomal RNA (575 nucleotides) under uncultured Spartobacteria bacterium. RNAcentral describes it as "bacterial SSU rRNA". It matches the Rfam family "Bacterial small subunit ribosomal RNA", at positions 102 to 664 of the family's 1533-position model. Lineage: Bacteria; Pseudomonadati; Verrucomicrobiota; Spartobacteria. The record is from RNAcentral.
AAGGGUGCGUAACACGUGGGCAAUCUGCCGAGAAGUGGGGGAUAGCUCGCCGAAAGGCGAAUUAAUACCGCAUGUGGUUAGGGAAGACAUCUUUCCGACACCAAAGCCGGGGCAACCUGGCGCUUCUUGAUGAGCCCGCGGCCUAUCAGCUAGUUGGUGAGGUAACGGCUCACCAAGGCUAUGACGGGUAGCUGGUCUGAGAGGACGACCAGCCACACUGGAACUGAGACACGGUCCAGACACCUACGGGUGGCAGCAGUCGAGAAUUUUUCUCAAUGGGGGAAACCCUGAAGGAGCGACGCCGCGUGGAGGAUGAAGGUCUUCGGAUUGUAAACUCCUGUCAUUAGGGAACAAUGUGCGGUUAUUAACUGUAAUCGUAUUGAUAGUACCUGAAGAGGAAGAGACGGCUAACUCUGUGCCAGCAGCCGCGGUAAUACAGAGGUCUCAAGCGUUGUUCGGAUUCAUUGGGCGUAAAGGGUGCGUAGGUGGCGCCAUAAGUCAGGUGUGAAAUCUCGGGGCUCAACCCCGAAACUGCACUUGAUACUGUGGUGCUCGAGUACUGGAGAGGAGAUUGG